CGAGACAGUGAUGUUAAGNGAACCCAAAAAGACAGUCUCAGUUCGGAUUGAAGGCUGAAAUUCGCCUUCAUGAAGCCGGAAUUGCUAGUAAUGGCAGGUCAGCAUACUGCCGUGAAUACGUUCCCGGGCCUUGUACACACCGCCCGUCACACCAUGAGAGUUGGGGAUACCCGAAGCCUGUGAGCUAACAGAAAUGGAGCAACAGUCGAAGGUAGAAUCAAUGAUUGGGGUGAAGUCGUAACAAGGUACC
Molecule: ribosomal RNA, 250 nt
Filed under: uncultured bacterium
Lineage: Bacteria
Description: partial 16S ribosomal RNA
Rfam family: Bacterial small subunit ribosomal RNA
Source: RNAcentral